RNAcentral lists this unclassified non-coding RNA (370 nucleotides) under Barnadesia odorata. RNAcentral's name for it is "partial miscellaneous RNA". The record is from RNAcentral. Lineage: Eukaryota; Viridiplantae; Streptophyta; Magnoliopsida; Asterales; Asteraceae.
CAGCAACGUCCACCUGUGCAUGCCUCUUCAUUUGUGUGUCAGGGUCAAUUUUUCCCUGCGCAUCGGUUGGGCUUCCUGUGUCGCAUACCUAUCGGAUGGAAUUUUUUGGCCGUAUCGAUGUCCCUUUUCACCUUACGACGCUCAUGUGACGUGGGGUGGACCUUGAAGCGGUCUCAGCGAUCCGUCCAGCCGGCUCUGUUGCGUCGGCGACAUGGAUCGUUGGGCAUCGUCUGGUCUCUUGGAUGCUGAAAACUUGUGCGGGUGUUGGGCUUUCGUGGCCUUAUGUCUACCCUCGUCAAGCGUUAUCGCUUCUCCAAAACGACUGCCGGUCGCGUGUGGACUAGUUUGGACGCGAUUGGCGACGUCGAAA